RNAcentral lists this long non-coding RNA (426 nucleotides) under Gallus gallus (chicken). The record is from RNAcentral. Lineage: Eukaryota; Metazoa; Chordata; Aves; Galliformes; Phasianidae.
UGGUGGUUUGUUCACUCUGUUCCAGUCUACUGGCACUUUGAUCUUCUCAUAGAGCUGGAAGAUAACCAUGGCAUCUGACAGAUCACUAUACAAGUGAUUUACACGCGGAGUAACGCCCAGGGAGUUCAUCCAGUUCCUGAACGUCCUCUCUUCCCUUGUCUCACCUUCAAUAGAGCUCCAGUCGAUGUCUUGGUUCUCUGGCUUAUGCAGGGCAGGGUAUUUGUUGAACAAGUUGGCGAUGAAUGCCAAGUUCAACUUUGGGUUCCCCCGGACAACAUCAGUGGCUGUGACGAACUGCCGGCACCCCAGCCGCUCUGCCUGCUGCAGCAUGCACUCCGCACGCUGCACGUCGUCCUUCUCCCUUAAUCCUGACAUGUCAAUAGUAAUAGCUGGAAUGCCUUCUUCAUCUCCCUUGGGGGCAACUUG